This 267-nucleotide long non-coding RNA is filed under the name Hordeum vulgare. Its description in RNAcentral is "long non-coding RNA (HVUL_LNC001555)". The record is from RNAcentral. Lineage: Eukaryota; Viridiplantae; Streptophyta; Magnoliopsida; Poales; Poaceae.
CAGCUGCCUGUCGAACGCGGAAGCGGAGAGCAGUCCUCUGUUCUCCUCGGCCCGCCGGAUGAGGUAGGGGAUGAUGUGCUCCACGGGGCCGUAGGGCAGGUACUUGCUCACCUGGAACCCGGCGUUGCGGAGCCCCAGGGACAGCCCGUCCGCCAUGCCCAUCAGCUGCGCGAACUGCAGGUUCCGGUCGCCCUUGCCGAUGCCAAGCUCCUGCGCCCUCGCCGCCGCCAGCUGCCCGGACUCCACGUUGUGGGUGGCCAGCAUCAC